This 360-nucleotide ribosomal RNA is filed under the name Scipopus sp. BOLD:ACO1162. RNAcentral's name for it is "partial 12S ribosomal RNA". The record is from RNAcentral. Lineage: Eukaryota; Metazoa; Arthropoda; Insecta; Diptera; Micropezidae.
UAUUAUUUAAAAUUGAAAGUGUGUUUUAGGUAGUAGUAGUUAUGAUCUUGAAACUUAAAAAAUUUGGCGGUAUUUUAGUCUAUCCAGAGGAACCUGUCCUGUAAUCGAUAAUCCACGUUGGACCUUACUUAAUAAUGUACUCAGUUUAUAUACCGUUGUUAUAAGAAUAUUUUAUUAGAAUAGUAAUUUUCUUAAAUUUUUAUUAAAUUUUAUAUCAGAUCAAGGUGUAGCUAAUGAUUAAGUAGAGAUGGGUUACAAUGAAUUUAUUUAUACGAAUUUAUUUAUGAAAUGAUUUUAUGAAGGUGGAUUUGGUAGUAAAACUAUGGAUAUUGUUAGUUUGAUUAUAGCUCUAAAAUAUGC